Melanotaenia boesemani (Boeseman's rainbowfish) is the source of this 580-nucleotide long non-coding RNA. RefSeq lists it as uncharacterized. The transcript is spliced from 3 exons. Lineage: Eukaryota; Metazoa; Chordata; Actinopteri; Atheriniformes; Melanotaeniidae. The record is from RefSeq and is a predicted model, not a curated record.
CACUUCAAAAUCACAUUUUCUAAGAUGACUUUCUUAAUUCUGUAUAUUGCUGUAGAUGGCAAAGGCAGUGAUGGAGGCAUAUCCUGCACUUCCAGCCAUGUCCUUUCCAACUGCAAAGAGGGACAUGGCUUUGGAAAGGACCAACUUUGCACUGGCAGUACUGAAGGAUUCAGUAUUUGAUAUGGACAACAACUGUGCCAUGUGCUCUGCCUCAAAGCCCCCGGGAACAGGGCCUCCGACUACUCAUUGGAUACAGUGUGACACUUGCGGACGAUGGUACCAUGAGCAGUGUCUCAACCUUACAGAAGACCAACUCAAAAAGGCGAGGGUGGCAAAGUGGGCCUGUGAAAUUUGCAAAUAAACCUGAUGCCAACUUUUUGAGCCUUAUGUUUUAAUUUUAGGUAAUUAUGAAUAAUAUGGACAUACAAAAUACUUUAAAAAAAUAACACUCACCUGUAGUAGAUAGGACAUGAUAAACAUGAUGUACUACAGCAAAAAGAAUGAUAAAAAGUCAAUUAAUUGAUUUUUAGUGAAUAUUUUCAGGUCAUAAAUGCAUACUGUGGGCAUAUAAAGUACUUUA